Molecule: transfer RNA, 71 nt
Filed under: Candidatus Staskawiczbacteria bacterium
Lineage: Bacteria; Candidatus Staskawicziibacteriota
Description: tRNA-Gln
Rfam family: tRNA
About the family: Transfer RNA (tRNA) molecules are approximately 80 nucleotides in length. Their secondary structure includes four short double-helical elements and three loops (D, anti-codon, and T loops).
Source: RNAcentral
UCCGGGAUCGUCUAAUGGUAGGACGCUACGCUCUGGACGUAGAAAUUGGGGUUCGAAUCCCUGUCCCGGAA